Molecule: ribosomal RNA, 495 nt
Filed under: uncultured bacterium
Lineage: Bacteria
Description: partial 16S ribosomal RNA
Rfam family: Bacterial small subunit ribosomal RNA
Source: RNAcentral
GAUGAACGCUGGCGGCGUGCUUAACACAUGCAAGUCGAACGAAGCACCUUGAUUUGAUUCUUCGGAUGAAGAUCUUGGUGACUGAGUGGCGGACGGGUGAGUAACGCGUGGGUAACCUGCCUCAUACAGGGGGAUAACAGUUAGAAAUGACUGCUAAUACCGCAUAAGACCACAGUACCGCAUGGUACAGGGGUAAAAACUCCGGUGGUAUGAGAUGGACCCGCGUCUGAUUAGGUAGUUGGUGGGGUAACGGCCUACCAAGCCGACGAUCAGUAGCCGACCUGAGAGGGUGACCGGCCACAUUGGGACUGAGACACGGCCCAAACUCCUACGGGAGGCAGCAGUGGGGAAUAUUGCACAAUGGGGGAAACCCUGAUGCAGCGACGCCGCGUGAGCGAUGAAGUAUUUCGGUAUGUAAAGCUCUAUCAGCAGGGAAGAAAAUGACGGUACCUGACUAAGAAGCACCGGCUAAAUACGUGCCAGCAGCCGCCGCAG